ACGCUGGCGGCGUGCUUAACACAUGCAAGUCGAACGCUGAAGGCCCAGCUUGCUGGGUUGGAUGAGUGGCGAACGGGUGAGUAACACGUGAGUAACCUGCCCCCUUCUUUGGGAUAACGGUCGGAAACGGCUGCUAAUACCGGGUAUUCACUGUCCUUCGCAUGGGGGGUGGUGGAAAGGUUUUUUCUGGUGGGGGAUGGGCUCGCGGCCUAUCAGCUUGUUGGUGGGGUGAUGGCUUACCAAGGCUUUGACGGGUAACCGGCCUGAGAGGGUGACCGGUCACAUUGGGACUGAGAUACGGCCCAGACUCCUACGGGAGGCAGCAGUGGGGAAUAUUGCACAAUGGGCGAAAGCCUGAUGCAGCGACGCCGCGUGAGGGAUGACGGCCUUCGGGUUGUAAACCUCUUUCGCUCAUGGUCAAGCCGCAACAGUGGUUGUGGUGAGGGCAGUGGGUAAAGAAGCACCGGCUAACUACGUGCCAGCAGCCGCGGUAAUACGUAGGGUGCGAGCGUUGUCCGGAAUUAUUGGGCGUAAAGGGCUUGUAGGCGGUUUGUCGCGUCUGCCGUGAAAUCCUCUGGCUUAACUGGGGGCGUGCGGUGGGUACGGGCAGGCUUGAGUGCGGUAGGGGAGACUGGAACUCCUGGUGUAGCGGUGGAAUGCGCAGAUAUCAGGAAGAACACCGGUGGCGAAGGCGGGUCUCUGGGCCGUUACUGACGCUGAGGAGCGAAAGCGUGGGGAGCGAACAGGAUUAGAUACCCUGGUAGUCCACGCUGUAAACGUUGGGCACUAGGUGUGGGGGCCGCCCGUGGUUUCUGCGCCGUAGCUAACGCUUUAAGUGCCCCGCCUGGGGAGUACGGCCGCAAGGCUAAAACUCAAAGGAAUUGACGGGGGCCCGCACAAGCGGCGGAGCAUGCGGAUU
Molecule: ribosomal RNA, 919 nt
Filed under: uncultured bacterium
Lineage: Bacteria
Description: bacterial SSU rRNA
Rfam family: Bacterial small subunit ribosomal RNA
Source: RNAcentral